Molecule: long non-coding RNA, 1513 nt
Organism: Bos taurus (domestic cattle)
Lineage: Eukaryota; Metazoa; Chordata; Mammalia; Artiodactyla; Bovidae
Source: Ensembl
CUUAUACAGUUUACAAUGUAAAAAGGCACAGAGAAAGAAACAAAUAUUAAAUAUAAUGUCAGAGAUGGAUAAUUGCUGUGAACAAAAAUUAAAAUUAGGGUAAAUAAUUAGAGUGUGGUGGAGGGGACCAUUUUAAAUAGCCUCAUUAUGGUAGGGUUCUCUGAGGAGAUGACAUUUGGACAGAAAUCUACAGGAAGAGGGACAGACUGCAAGACUCUCUCCAGGUGACACCAAGUUCAGAUGCUGGCGGAAAAGAAUGGUGGGAACGUUCAAGGCUCAGCAAGAAGGAGCCGGGACUGGGAACAACUGGGAGACUCAUCUCUCCUUGUCCUACUCCCAGUGACACCGUCAGUAACUCACUCAGCAAUAACACAGAACCCUAGGAGUUCAUGACAGUUGCUUUACAGCAUCGUGUCAGUUUCUGCCCUACAACAACACGAAUCAGUCACAGAGAUUGAGCAAGAAAGAAAGGACCUAAGGACUGGGAGUUAAGAAAUGAAAUGUUAAAAGGAGGUUGAAACAGAUAAAAGCAAGAGAACUGGAACACAGAGAAGAGGGCUGCUUGCCCCCGAGUCAGCCAAGGAUUUACACUGCUAAGAGACCUUGACAUCUGAACACUUCCUUCCUUCCCUGAAGUUUUAGCAACACACCCAGGGGACUGGACAAGAACCACCAAGAAGCAGGAACUACCAUGAAGCAAGAGCUUCAUCCUCUGUGUCUGCAUCAAAUCCCCAGCCCUAGUACUGCCCACCCCCACACUUCUCCCUACUUCAGGCCAAUGACAAGAAGCAGGAAGAACUAAAUUUGUCAGAGAUACUCUCCGUAAGAUCUCAAAGGCCCGCCAUUCCUCUCCUUUUGGCUCCACUUCCGGUCACGUUCCCCUUGAGCAGUCAGUACUCCAAGGAAGGGGAAUAAGAGCCACUCUUCAUAGCUGAGCACCAUCUCCAGAGCUCUAAGACCCCACUUGAAGGUUUUAAAGUCAGUGAAAUUCAUUAUUCUAUGGGAUUCCCUGCCCCUUACAUGCUUUCCUUUGCCCACAAGUAAAACAACCAACAAAAGAUCAAUGAUUAUUCUCAAAACAAAGAGGAAAAUGUAUUUUUCAAAGGAGUUUGAUGGUUGGCUUGAUUUGAGAAAAAAUGUUCCUGAAUUUCAAUUAUCUUGAAAUUCUUAAAUUUAAAUUGAGCAUUAAUGGAUUGGAGGUAGAGAAUAGAUUUAUUUUGUUUAUAUUCUAUAACAAAGCCACUCUACUAAAUUCAAAAUUAAUAUUUUUACCCAAAAAAGGUUCAAACAUUUUUAACAAUAUUUUCCCCUUCAGGUCAAUCUUCUUGUAUAUUCAAGUGCAUCUUGCUAAUCUUGUGUGGGUAAAUGUAUGUUAAUAUUAUCACAGUUAUUUAAGCAUUGCCUUCAAAUAUUUUAAAGCAUUGAUUUCCUUCCUUUAACCAAAUACAUAUUAACAGAGUCAUAAUAAUAAAGCAUGAUUUAUUUAAAAAAUUUUAACAGAAAAGCUACAAGG